This 1993-nucleotide long non-coding RNA is filed under the name Phasianus colchicus (ring-necked pheasant). Its description in RNAcentral is "lncRNA (ENSPCLG00000012021.1)". Lineage: Eukaryota; Metazoa; Chordata; Aves; Galliformes; Phasianidae. The record is from RNAcentral.
AUGAUUUUCUCCUCUGAAGUUGGUUCCCACUAUGGAGUGUUCUUCCUUUUGGAAGGUGUGUUUACCCCACCCUGUGCUGCUGCUGCCCGGGGUUUCCCUCACUGCCUGGGACCUUGUCCAAUCCAAUGCCAUCCCCUGCCCCCCAGACAACACCUGCUCCUGCUAAUUGCAGCCGUAAAGCCCUUAGUUGUUGCUGUGCUGCCCUCGGCUGGUGCUGUGGGACAGGUGUGCUUUCUGCUCUUUGCAAUUUGUUGUCCUGUGUUGUCUGAGUUCUCCCCUUGGGUCUAUUCAUAGCAAACUGUGUUGGUUGGUCCUGUGGGCAGGUUGAGCAUCCUGGGGAGCAAAAGCUGUUGCUUUCUUUGCGCUCAGUGCAUUGCACUCAGCUGCGGGGUGCAGUGCAGGAGCUGGGGGCUGCUCCUGCUGGGGAGCAUCUGCAGUUGGUGGGAGCUCUCACCAACUCUUAAUGCAACAUUUCCUUCAGUUUAUUUUUGUAUUCUUAAGGCAUGUUUAUGUUCGAUUGUUUGUGAGUUGUGGUGAUUUGGGUUUUUGUUUGUAUUGUUAAAAACGUAAGCCUAGUCUGCAGUACAAAGCACAGGAUAAAUGCAAAGAGUUUUUCUGGAGGUCUUUCGCCACAGACUGCAGAUCGUGUUUCCUUUCACAGAGCUGUAGGGAUGUGGCCGCCCCUGCACUGCAGGACAGAGGCAGUGUCCCAGCAUUGCUGUGUUGUGUGACUUCAGUUGUGUGAGGUCCUUCCUUCAGGCCUUUGUAGUCAGCUUUAAAUAAGCAGGUAUAAAUUUCACCAAGUAGUCCAUAGUUCUGAAACAAAAGACAGAGGGUUACAAUGAACUGUUCACAGUGCAUAACUAGGUAUCAGCUAUUUCUGCUAAGAAGCAAAUGUAAUCACUGCAAAUAUCUGAUAUUGAAUCGGGUCUGGGAGAUGGCAGAAGGUGAAGUGAAUGCUCAGAGUUUGAGGCAGUGCUGUCUGGUUUGGCCUCUGCCCUGCUCUGUGCAGCCAUGAUCCUGCCAAGCAGAGCAUCUGGAAAAUGUGGUGGUGAACUUCACAGAGGACAUAACCAAAUGUAACAGAGUUCUUCAGCACGAGGAAGAUGUGCCUAUGCAGAAGAUAAGGUAUUGGAAGAGGGAAGGAAAACAACUGAGAAAUAUUCCUCCCUGUGUGUCGCAGCACAUGAACAAAGCAGUGGCUCUUUUUGAAGCAGUCUCUGCUUCUUGCCUGGGAAUUCAUUGUUAGAAAUACAGAUUCCUCCUCUUCUGGGCAGAGCUGAUAAACAACCUCGAUGCAGAUUCCUUUUCUCUCAUUAGGCCUUGUUCUUUUUGCUACAUUAUUUAUGAUCUGAAAGAAUAAUAAUUGCAGGAUUGUUCAGUGAAUGAUGUGUUGUGAGUAAUGCGCAUUUACUGUUUCCUUUGUCCUUCCCUCUUGCUUCACUGGAAGAGCAAGUUGUUGACUGCAUUUAAAAUGAGUAGAAAGUCGUGCAUAAGCACAGUGUAUUGAGGCCUGCGGGUUGAGUAUGCCCUGAAUCACUGCAGGACAGCAGCCCUCAGCCUUACGAAACCCAUCUGAGCACUGGGAUGCCUGGUGGGGCAACCCAAGGACUUCUGUGGAACUUUUCUCCAGAGGUGAUGGAGCCUACAGACAGGAAAGAGGGUGAAGGUUGAGUUGGGGUCCCGUGGCACGAGCAGGGGUUGGGGGCUGACCCCUACCUUCCCUGGGCUGCCCUGUUCCUUCUCCCAGAGCUGGGAGGGGGCUGAGAGUACAAGGUGCUGGGGGCCAAUCUUCCCGCUACUUCCCAGUACUUGUGUGUGAGCGUUUUGUGGUGCAGCCCCAGCACAGGCCUUCCUCUGUCCCUGCAGACGAGAUCAGCUUAAUGAAGGAGAUGCAUGUUACUCCUGGCAGUACCAUUAAGCAGUUACCAGGAACGGAAACCUGCUGUUAUGGUAUUUAAAAUAAAUAAAUAAAUAAAUCCCUUUUACCUCA